Molecule: ribosomal RNA, 497 nt
Filed under: uncultured bacterium
Lineage: Bacteria
Description: partial 16S ribosomal RNA
Rfam family: Bacterial small subunit ribosomal RNA
Source: RNAcentral
GAUGAACGCUGGCGGCGUGCCUAAUACAUGCAAGUCGAGCGAACAGAUGAGGAGCUUGCUCCUCUGACGUUAGCGGCGGACGGGUGAGUAACACGUGGAUAACCUACCUAUAAGACUGGGAUAACUUCGGGAAACCGGAGCUAAUACCGGAUAAUAUAUUGAACCGCAUGGUUCAAUAGUGAAAGACGGUUUUGCUGUCACUUAUAGAUGGAUCCGCGCCGCAUUAGCUAGUUGGUAAGGUAACGGCUUACCAAGGCAACGAUGCGUAGCCGACCUGAGAAGGUGAUCGGCCACACUGGAACUGAGACACGGUCCAGACUCCUACGGGGGGCAGCAGUAGGGAAUCUUCCGCAAUGGGCGAAAGCCUGACGGAGCAACGCCGCGUGAGUGAUGAAGGUCUUCGGAUCGUAAAACUCUGUUAUUAGGGAAGAACAAAUGUGUAAGUAACUAUGCACGUCUUGACGAUACCUAAUCAGAAAGCCACGGCUAACUACGUG